CCGAUGUAGCUCAGCCGGUCAGAGCAGCUGAUUUGUAAUCAGCAGGUCGUGGGUUCGAAUCCCUCCAUCGG
Molecule: transfer RNA, 71 nt
Filed under: Alistipes communis
Lineage: Bacteria; Pseudomonadati; Bacteroidota; Bacteroidia; Bacteroidales; Rikenellaceae
Rfam family: tRNA
About the family: Transfer RNA (tRNA) molecules are approximately 80 nucleotides in length. Their secondary structure includes four short double-helical elements and three loops (D, anti-codon, and T loops).
Source: RNAcentral